RNAcentral lists this transfer RNA (75 nucleotides) under bacterium. RNAcentral describes it as "tRNA-Phe". It matches the Rfam family "tRNA". From Rfam's summary of the family: Transfer RNA (tRNA) molecules are approximately 80 nucleotides in length. Their secondary structure includes four short double-helical elements and three loops (D, anti-codon, and T loops). The record is from RNAcentral.
GCCGGGGUAGCUCACUGGUAGAGCGCCGCCCUGAAAAGGCGGGCGUAGGCAGUUCGAUUCUGCCCCCCGGCACCG